Rhagoletis pomonella (apple maggot) is the source of this 662-nucleotide long non-coding RNA. RefSeq lists it as uncharacterized. The transcript is spliced from 3 exons. Lineage: Eukaryota; Metazoa; Arthropoda; Insecta; Diptera; Tephritidae. The record is from RefSeq and is a predicted model, not a curated record.
AUAUAGCCUAUACUGCUGAAAAUGUUCCUACAUCGUAUACAUAAUCAACCCAACAGCGCCCUUACACUGUACGGGCGUUUCGCUACAAACCAAUAAAAAACAAUUGAAUUUGUGAGUGCCGGCUGAUCACUGGGCUAAGGUGAAAUGCAGAGACAAAUGUCUCGUUAUUUCAGCGAAAAACUACCUGGUUCUGUGGCAUCGAGCGAGAGUGAUUAUCUGAAUCAUGUGUUGAUACUAACGCUGGCAUUUUCUAUGCAGAUGACUAGACUUGCUUGCUUUCCAUCUGCUUUAAAUGAAUUUUUCGUGCAAAAUAGUCAUCCUCUGGAGAAAAAGCAUUUACUUAUAAAAUCAGUCGAAGUAGAAUAUCGUAACUGGACAUCGAUGUCAAAUGGCUACGACAAUGAAUCAUAUUAUGUGGCCUAGAGCAAGAUCACUUUUCCUUUGUUUACGUGUCAAUAUGAUUUGGGACCGUCAAUACAGUGGCAUAUAUGUAUAAUCUUGGAGGGCAUUAGCGCACGCGCCUUUUCAGCACCGACUGUUUCUUCAAUGAAUUCCCCAAUACACCUGAAACUUAGUUGCCAAUCACGCCCUCAAUAGUAGCAGGUAAUGUGGUGGGUGCUGUUGCGAAGGGUUAUUCAUUGACACCACCAAAAGAGAUACAA